AUGCCGGCGUGAGUAGCGGCACGUGGGUGAGAAUCCCACGCACCGAUGGCCCAAGGUCUCCAGAGGAAGGCUCGUCCUCUCUGGGAUAGUCGGGACCUAAGGCGAGGCCGAAAGGCGUAGCCGAUGGACGACGGGUGGAUAUUCCCGUACCCGAUGUGUGGCGAUGGAGUGACGGAGAAGGCUCAGGCAACCAGCUGCUGGAAUAGCUGGGGCAAGCGAGAUACCUACGCACCAGGGAAAUCCGGUGCGCAUAAGGGGAAGGCGCGAUGCAUACGGAAAGCUUCGGCAAGUACGGAAAAGCUGAGAGCAGGCUUCCAGGAAAAGCUUCUAGCACAACACACAUCGGCCCGUACCGAAGAUGGACACACAUGGGCAAGGAGAGAAUCCUGAGGUGAGCGAGAGAACUAUAGCUAAGGAACUCUGCAAAAUGACCCCGUAACCUAGGGAGAAGGGGUGCUCCAGAAAUGGAGCCGCAGUAAAACGGCCCAAGCGACUGUUUACCAAAAACACAGCUCUCUGCGAAGGCGCAAGCCGAAGUAUAGGGGGUGACGCCUGCCCGGUGCUGGAAGGUCAAGGGGAGCUGUCAGCGCAAGCGAAGCAGCGAGCCGAAGCCCCAGUAAACGGCGGCCGUAACAAUAACGGUCCUAAGGUAGCGAAAUUCCUUGUCGGGCAAGUUCCGACCCGCACGAAAGGCGUAACGAUUUGGGCGCUGUCUCAGCUGUAGACUCGGUGAAGUCUUAGUACCUGUGAAGAUGCAGGUUGCCCGCGACUAGACGGAAAGACCCCAUGGAGCUUCACUGCAGGUUGACAUUGGGUUUGGAUGCAUGAUGUACAGGAUUGGUGGGAGGCUGUGAGCCGUGCGCGCCAGCGUACGGGGAGCCGCUGUUGGGAUACCACCCUUCAUGCAUCUAGGUCCUAACCGGAGGCAACGGGCCACGGGACAGUGUCAGUCGGGCAGUUUGACUGGGGCGGUCGCCUCCCAAAGAGUAACGGAGGCGCCCAAAGAUACCCUCAGCAUGGAUGGAAACCAUGCAUAGAGUGCAAAGGCAUAAGGGUGUCUGACUGCGAGACAUACAGGUCGAGCAGGGACGAAAGUCGGGCUUAGUGAUCCGGCGGAUCCGAAUGGAAGGGCCGUCGCUCAACGGAUAAAAGCUACCCUGGGGAUAACAGGCUGAUCUCCCCCAAGAGUUCACAUCGACGGGGAGGUUUGGCACCUCGAUGUCGGCUCAUCGCAUCCUGGAGCUGAAGUCGGUUCCAAGGGUUGGCUGUUCGCCCAUUAAAGCGGUACGCGAGCUGGGUUCAGAACGUCGUGAGACAGUUCGGUCCCUAUCUGUCGUGGGCGCAGGAGGUUUGAGGAGAGCUGCCCCUAGUACGAGAGGACCGGGGUGGACGGACCGAUGGUGCACCAGUUGUCACGCCAGUGGCACAGCUGGGCAGCCAAGUCCGGACGGGAUAAGCGCUGAAGGCAUCUAAGCGUGAAGCCCCCUCCAAGAUGAGACCUCCCAUUGGCGACAAGUAAGGCCCCUCGAAGACGACGAGGUUGAUAGGCCGCGAGUGCAAGCGCAGCGAUGUGCUUAGCGGGGCGGUACUAAUAGGCCGAGGACUUGGCC
This 1610-nucleotide ribosomal RNA is filed under the name metagenome. RNAcentral's name for it is "bacterial LSU rRNA". It matches the Rfam family "Bacterial large subunit ribosomal RNA", at positions 1294 to 2925 of the family's 2925-position model. The record is from RNAcentral.